CCAUUGGUUUGGAAUAACACGAGGAAACUUGUGCUAAUACCAGAUAAGCCUUUACGGGGAAAGCUUUAUGCGCCGAUGGAUGAGCCCGCACUUGAUUAGCUAGUUGGUAAGGUAAAAGCUUACCAAGGCUACGAUCAAUAGCUGAUCUGAGAGGAUGAUCAGCCACAUUGGGACUGAGACACGGCCCAAACUCCUACGGGAGGCAGCAGUAGGGAAUCUUGCACAAUGGGGGAAACCCUGAUGCAGCGAUGCCGCGUGAGUGAAGAAGGCCUUUGGGUUGUAAAGCUCUUUCGUCGGGGAAGAAAAUGACUGUACCCGAAUAAGAAGGUCCGGCUAACUUCGUGCCAGCAGCCGCGGUAAUACGAAGGGACCUAGCGUAGUUCGGAAUUACUGGGCUUAAAGAGCUCGUAGGUGGUUAGAAAAGUUGGUGGUGAAAUCCCAAGGCUUAACCUUGGAGCUGCCACCAAAACUUUUUAACUAGAGUAUGAUAGAGGUAAGCGGAAUUUCUAGUGUAGAGGUGAAAUUCGUAGAUAUUAGAAAGAACACCAAUUGCGAAGGCAGUUUACUGGAUCAUUACUGACACUGAGGAGCGAAAGCAUGGGGUAGCGAAGAGGAUUA
RNAcentral lists this ribosomal RNA (618 nucleotides) under uncultured Pelagibacterium sp. RNAcentral describes it as "bacterial SSU rRNA". It matches the Rfam family "Bacterial small subunit ribosomal RNA", at positions 130 to 780 of the family's 1533-position model. The record is from RNAcentral. Lineage: Bacteria; Pseudomonadati; Pseudomonadota; Alphaproteobacteria; Hyphomicrobiales; Devosiaceae.